Molecule: ribosomal RNA, 214 nt
Filed under: uncultured bacterium
Lineage: Bacteria
Description: partial 16S ribosomal RNA
Rfam family: Bacterial small subunit ribosomal RNA
Source: RNAcentral
CAACCUGCCCUGUACUGUGGAAUAAUCAUUGGAAACGAUGACUAAUACCGCAUGUGGUCCUCGGAAGGCAUCUUCUGAGGAAGAAAGGAUUUAUUCGGUACAGGAUGGGCCCGCAUCUGAUUAGCUAGUUGGUGAGAUAACAGCCCACCAAGGCGACGAUCAGUAGCCGACCUGAGAGGGUGAUCGGCCACAUUGGGACUGAGAUACGGCCCAG